GCUGAAGGACCAGGAGGAUUGCCUGUGUAGGUACUCGAAGAAUCCGGAUUUUGGGAAAUAUGUCUCUUCUCCUAACGCCAAAAAGGUUAUCGACGCCUGUGAUGUUCCUCACCCUUCUUGUACCUCUAAUAAAUUACAUAGUGUAGAGGAGGAGCAACAAUGAUCGUUGUCUCUGUGUAAUUAAUAAAGAGCUGGUCUUCAGUAAUCAGUAACAUAUGUCAUAGGACAGAUUAAAUCAUCUUAUGGAUUAUUGGAAAUUAAAAGAUAAUUAUUCAUCUCGUCUUCUUGCUAAUGUUAAUUUGCAUAUAUAUUAGCUUGCGUUGCUCUGAAAAUUGACGAUUCGAUGAGUUACAGUUCCCGUUCUAUUGUACGACGAUCCAUUCAAACGGACGAAAUUAUGU
This 401-nucleotide long non-coding RNA is filed under the name Linum usitatissimum (flax). Its description in RNAcentral is "long non-coding RNA (LUSI_LNC007518)". The record is from RNAcentral. Lineage: Eukaryota; Viridiplantae; Streptophyta; Magnoliopsida; Malpighiales; Linaceae.